AGAGUCAGACUAGAACCACACCAUUGACUUUCCUGGGAAUCCAGCUGGCUGACUUCAGAUCUUGGGACUUCUCAGUUUUCAAAUCAUCCCUUUCCAAGUGUGAACCCAGGGGAGACCUUUGCAAACUGAAGUCAUGAAGCAGGUUACAUGAGGUAGACCCACCUCCUGACAGCUGUCUCCAUAGACACAGCCUGGUUUUGGUCUCCAUCCCUUACCUAGCACUCAAGACCUCAUCCACUCCAGGCCCACACUGGAAAGCAGGGUUUUCAUGUCUCCUACCUAUCCUUGCCUCGUAGUACUAGCUGAGGGACAUGGUCUUUCUAAAGGAUCUCGGAACGUAAACAGCCCAUUCAUCUCUCUGGAUGCUUGAGGUUCCCUUUUGGAAUCAAGCGGAGCCAUCAGAAGGUCAAUGGACUAUGUUUUGCCACAGUCCUGUGCAGAAUCAGGCUGGGUUAUGCCCUCACUCUCUGUCCCACGUUGAGACGGCAUUGUGAAUAUUGUUCACUAUAUCACACACUGCCUCCUGUGUGAAGCCCGUGGAAGAGAUUCUUUUAGAACUAUCCUGGAGAAAUAAGUAUGGAUUGGCUUUCCUUUGUACUGUGGCUGCCAGGAAACUGGAAGUCACACUUGAAACGGUACCAUAGCAGCCAGUGAGACUUUAUGGUCUGGGUUUUGGGCUCUGUGUUCUUUCCCCAUUAUGUAUAGUUUCUCUCAUUCUUACUCUUUAUGCUAAUGAACUCAGUCAUGGGAUAUGAUUGAAAUAAGAAAGUGUCUGGUACUGUAAAAGUUAAUUUGCGAAGUAAUAAUAAUAACAAUAAUAAGUAA
Long non-coding RNA from Cebus imitator (Panamanian white-faced capuchin), 825 nucleotides. RefSeq lists it as uncharacterized. Lineage: Eukaryota; Metazoa; Chordata; Mammalia; Primates; Cebidae. The transcript has 3 exons. The record is from RefSeq and is a predicted model, not a curated record.